Molecule: ribosomal RNA, 375 nt
Filed under: Urostomides striatus
Lineage: Eukaryota; Ciliophora; Armophorea; Metopida; Apometopidae
Description: partial small subunit ribosomal RNA
Rfam family: Eukaryotic small subunit ribosomal RNA
Source: RNAcentral
GCUUGUCUCAAAGAUUAAGCCAUGCAUGUGUAAGUAUAGUUAUAUACAGCGAAACUGCGAAUGGCUCAUUAAAUCAGUUAUAAUUUAUUUGAUGGAUAAAGGAUAUGGAUAACCGUAGAAAUUCUAGAGCUAAUACAUGCUAGAAAGCUCGACGCAAGAAGAGCUGCAUUUAUUAGAUAAAGCCAGCAUUUAGGUGAUUCAUAAUAACUUAGCGAAUCGCAAGGUUUCUUGCGAUAUAUCAUUCAAGUAUCUGCCCUAUCAGCUUUGAUGGUAGUGUAUUGGACUACCAUGGCAUUAACGGGUAACGGAGAAUUAGGGUUCGGUUCCGGAGAAAGAGCCUGAGAAACGGCUAUUACAUCUAAGGAAGGCAGCAGG